Myotis lucifugus (little brown bat) is the source of this 1719-nucleotide long non-coding RNA. RefSeq lists it as uncharacterized. The transcript is spliced from 4 exons. NCBI's taxonomy places the organism in Eukaryota, Metazoa, Chordata, Mammalia, Chiroptera, Vespertilionidae. The record is from RefSeq and is a predicted model, not a curated record.
GCAGGAGAUGGGCGCCCCUCUCCACUCCUGUCCCGCUCACUGCUAACAUGUCAGCUAGAAAAAUGGCAGAGUUCCAGGCUUCCUCCCUUCGUGGUGCAGCUGGAAGGCCACCUCUGGGAUGGACGGGGAUGGAGAGCGCGUGUUCACGGCACCCUCACCUGCCAGGGCCCCGCUCCCCACCGCCAGGAGGAGUCCAGGAGCCUUUCUGUGGGAGGUCCCCAGGAGCUGGGAGCUCUGUCUGCACUUUCCCAGGAGAGGGCAGCCUCUGGACGGAACGGAGCUCAGGGGGGCAGCGCUGUCCUUGGAGAUGCCAGCCCCGUGCUGGUGCACCUGCCAGGUGUGGGAGGUCAGCGGGGUUCAGCAGGCACCAAGCACCCACUGUGCAAGGCACUGGCUGUUGCGUGCCCCACGUGAUCUCAUUUUGCUCUCGAGCCACCGGGUGAGGGGAUGACCCAGCCGACUGCGUGGGGCAGGGGCUGGCCUCUCCCACCACUCCUGUCCCCCAUGGGUCACCAGCCAUGACAGCACCAUGCACGCAGGGCCCGUCUCCCCAGCGCUGCGUGGGACCUGGCAGUGGCGGGCACGCCAAUGUCUUUUGGAUGAAUGACUCCCAGGGACCAGGAGUUGUGGGUCCUGGACCCAGCCCUUGCCCAGUGCUCUGGCCCCACAUCCUCAGUGGCACCCGCUGAGGGCCUGGCAUCUGGUGUUGGCUUCCAACUGGGCCACUUCCAGCUCGUUACCAUUAACGUUUGGGGACACCCAGCAUACGGCAGAUGCCAUUAGAAAAGCAAAUUCCGUUCUGUCAGGAAGCAAAGCUAACAGCACAAAGCAGGUUAGGAGGGGAAGAUUGAUGAGCCAAAGCCCCUGGAAAACAAAUGAGGGAAGUUUUCUUUACCAGAUAACUUUUAUUUAUUACACUUGCUUUUUGUUAAAGACACAGACACCCUGCCGGUCUCUGGACCCAGGCCUGGAGAGAUGCGCUGCUGGGACUGGGCAGGAUUUGUCAAGACUCCAGACUCCAUGAAGAGGAAAUAUGAAUUGGACCUCAACCUUCCCCCAGAGCAGAGACACCUCUCGGCCAGAUCCCUGGGCAUGCUCUCAGCAUCCUCCUUCAACCCUCCACCCCGAUCUGAGCACCCCCCAAGGCCAGGCCGGCCCCUGGAAGCCCUGGGAUAGUCAACAAAUCUUCCUCCCAAUUUCAUAGAUUCAGGGCCAACAACAAGAUGCUUGCACAAUGCGAAAGGCAUAAAAUGUUCAGAUUUAUUGCUUUGAGAGUUUGGUUUGUCUCCUGGGCCUGGUUGACGCAGCUUCCUUCAGGUUUCAGAGCAUUUUGUUUAAAAAAAAAAAAAAAAGAAUUUUGACAGCAAUGUUUUGCCUCAUAUUUUCACAAGGCUUUAUAGUUUACAAAGGACAUUCACAUAGAGGAAUCAUCACUAUAUGUAUUGAAUUUCUACACUGGGGAGCUCAACCCUGGAAAUCACCCUCCUUUUCCACAGAUGGGGAAGCAGAGGCUCAGAGAGGUUAAGGGCCUUGCCUAAGGUCACACAGCCCAGGGAAAGGUUUCACCCUGCUCUUGGUCUCUUCCGUCCUGCCACUCUGCUUUUCUCAUCUUCAGCCUGCCCUAAUGCACAGUGGUCUGCAGACAGACAGUGAGUGAGAACAAAACAAAAUAAAAGCCAGAGGCAAAUUGCAGAAAACAAUCAGAGGCUGGGAUGAGUA